UCUGAUGCAGCCNUACCGCGUGUAUGAAGAAGGCCUUAGGGUUGUAAAGUACUUUCAGCGAGGAGGAAAGGUAAGUAGUUAAUAACUGCUUACUGUGACGUUACUCGCAGAAGAAGCACCGGCUAACUCCGUGCCAGCAGCCGCGGUAAU
This 150-nucleotide ribosomal RNA is filed under the name uncultured bacterium. RNAcentral describes it as "partial 16S ribosomal RNA". It matches the Rfam family "Bacterial small subunit ribosomal RNA", at positions 382 to 524 of the family's 1533-position model. The record is from RNAcentral.